CCCUACGGGGUGCAGCAUGCGCGAAAACUUUACAAUGCCGGCAACGGCGAUAAGGGGACCUCGAGUGCCAGGUUACAAAUCUGGCUGUCGCGAUGCCUAAAAAGCAUUGCAUAGCAAGGGCCGGGCAAGACCGGUGCCAGCCGCCGCGGUAGCACCGGCGGCUCGAGUGGUAACCGUUAUUAUUGGGUCUAAAGGGUCUGUAGCCGGCCGGGUAAGUCUCUUGGGAAAUCCAGCAGCUCAACUGUUGGGCUUUCAGGAGAUACUGCCUGGCUCGAGGCCGGGAGAGGUGAGAGGUACUUCAGGGGUAGGGGUGAAAUCUUGUAAUCCUUGAAGGACCACCAGUGGCGAAGGCGUCUCACCAGAACGGACCUGACGGCAAGGGACGAAAGCUAGGGGCACGAACCGGAUUAGAUACCCGGGUAGUCCUAGCCGUAAACGAUACUCGCUAGGUGUCGGCCACGGUGCGACCGUGGUCGGUGCCGUAGGGAAGCCGUGGAGCGAGCCACCUGGGAAGUACGGCCGCAAGGCUGAAACUUAAAGGAAUUGGCGGGGGAGCAC
RNAcentral lists this ribosomal RNA (558 nucleotides) under uncultured archaeon. RNAcentral's name for it is "bacterial SSU rRNA". It matches the Rfam family "Archaeal small subunit ribosomal RNA", at positions 321 to 879 of the family's 1478-position model. The record is from RNAcentral.